Molecule: RNA transcript, 2654 nt
Organism: Hyla sarda
Lineage: Eukaryota; Metazoa; Chordata; Amphibia; Anura; Hylidae
Gene: TGM2
Gene name: transglutaminase 2
Exons: 14
Source: RefSeq, a predicted model, not a curated record
AGAAAUAACCCAGCAUGUGAACCCGGCCCUAUGUUUUUAGGCCCCACACCCCUCCCACCACAGGUGUUUUGAAUUUGGACCCAAAUUUCAGGUUUCAUGACUGGAAUGAGCAGACACCAGAGAGCUCUGACGCUCGAGAACUGUGACUUAGACUGCGGCACCAACAAUCGGAGCCAUCACACCGCGGAUGCCGGAUGUACCAGACUCAUUGUCCGGAGGGGCCAGGCUUUUGAGAUCAAGCUGCAGUUUUCUCCGAGAGGUUAUGAAGAAGGAGUGGACCAGCUGACUCUUUUUGCUCAAACAGGUCCAUGUCCCUCUGAAGACUUCGGCACAGAAGCUAAAAUCAAAGUGACGGACUCCCUGCAGGAAGGUGAAUGGAGCGCAGCCAUAAGCAACGUCGAUGGUGAAAACCUUGUCCUGUCUGUCAUCUCUCCUCCCGAUGCCCGUAUUGGAAAGUAUGCCCUCUCCCUGGAGACUUCCACAGGAACAGAGGAAAACAGCUGCAACCUUGGGGACUUCUUCCUGCUCUUUAACCCAUGGUGUCCAGAGGACUCUGUGUACAUGGAGAAUGACGCCGAGCGGACAGAGUACGUUGCAACGCAGUACGGGAUCAUCUUCCAGGGAGUCGUAAGCAAUAUAACCUCUGUGCCUUGGAACUUUGGACAGUUUGAAGAUGAUAUACUGGAAGCUUCUCUUGAGGUGUUAGACAAAAACCCCAAGUUCUUGGAGGAUUCCACCACUGACUGCACCCAGCGGAACGAUCCCGUGUACAUAAGCCGUGUUGUCAGUGCAAUGGUGAACUGUAAUGGUGACAGCGGUGUUCUAUAUGGGCGCUGGGACAACUGCUAUGGCGACGGUGUAAGCCCCAUGUCCUGGAUCGGCAGCGUGGACAUCCUACGACGCUGGAGAAAGUUUGGUUGUCAAGCAGUGAAGUACGGACAGUGUUGGGUUUAUGCCGCCGUUGCCUGUUCAGUUCUGAGGUGUCUGGGCAUCCCCGCUCGGGUCAUCACCAACUACAAUUCCGCACAUGAUACCAACAGCAACUUGGCGAUCGAGCUGUACCUGGAUGACCAAGGGAAGAAUCAGAAGAAGCAUAAAGACAUGAUCUGGAACUUCCACUGUUGGGUCGAAGCCUGGAUGAACCGUCUUGAUCUUCCCGAAGGAUACGAUGGUUGGCAGGUCGUGGAUCCAACUCCUCAAGAGAAAAGUGAUGGUGCCUACUGCUGUGGUCCCGCUCCUGUCCUGGCUGUGAAGGAAGGUGACCUUGCCAUCAGCUACGACGUCCCAUUCGUAUUCGCCGAGGUCAAUGCAGAUGUCAUCUACUUUGUAGAGCAGAGGGACGGGACCGUCAGGCAGACCAAAAACAACGCGCUGGUCGGGCAGAAAAUCAGCACGAAAGCGGUGGGAACAGACACCCGGGAAGACAUUACGCAGAACUACAAAUACCCUGAGGGUUCCGAAGACGAAAGACGGGUCUUUGAAAAGGCAAAUCAGCAGGUUAUAGUCCCCCGAUCGCAGAGGGAGGAAGCCCCACACGCCAUUGACAUGAAGAUUAAAGUGUCCGAAAAGAUGGACAAGGGGAGCGAUUUUGAUGUGUUUGCAGUGAUCAGCAACAACACUGAGGAGGACAAGAUAUGUAGACUUAUGUUCUGUGCCCGUCCUACCAGCUAUAUGGGUGAGGUGGGGCCAGAAUGUGGGAUGAAGGAUCUAGUCGACCUCAAAUUGGAGGCAAAUGCAGAGAAGUCUGUCCCUCUGAGGGUUCUCUACGAGAAGUAUGGCAGCACCCUGACCCAGGACAACAUGAUCAAAGUGGUGGCUCUUCUCACUGACAAUUCUACGAAGGACGUUCUCCUUGCUAUAAGAGACAUUAAUGUGAAGAACCCCGACAUCAAAGUGCGGGUACUGGGAGAACCCAAGCAACAGAAAAAGCUGGUGGCAGAGAUCUCCGUGAAGAAUCCUCUAUCGGAGCCGCUGUCGGGAUGUAGCUUCACCCUGGAGGGAGCCGGCCUGACCGACCAACCUGUGGUCAAGGAACUAGAAAGCCCCAUAGAACCGGGGCAAGAUGCCAAAGUCCGAGUGGACCUCGUGCCUCAGCUAUCGGGACUGCGCAAACUCGUGGUUGACUUCGAGAGCGACCACCUGACGGGGGUGAAAGGUUACAAGAACAUCAUCAUAGCUCCCCUCCCAAAGUGAACCACGGCCCAUUGACCGACGGCCACCAUCUGUGCCCAGCGGACACCUACUGACCCAUAAUGGGGGUCCGGCAUGGAAAACUGCGUUUUGAUUGGAAGAAUAUCGCUUUGUUUUUUUUCUUCCUGUCAAAUCUGGUGGGAUUCCCGAUAGGGCAGUGGUCCGCAGGUUGGAGACCACUGCAAUAGGGGAUCCCAACGGUAGUGUGGACAAAGCCUAAGCCCUAAGGAAGUGGUCUUCAUACUGUGGACCUCCAGAUGUUGCAAAACAGCCAACGGCUGUCCGUGCGUGCUGGAAGUUGUAGUUUAGCAACAUCUGCAGGUCCACAGUUUGAGGACCACCUCAUAGUCACCUUCAGCAAAUGUUACAUACCAGUCCUAUAAUGUGAGAAGCCAUAUUUACAAGUAAGCACUCCAAGCACUGUGUAUUAUAAAGUAUUUGCCCCCCUCCCCCAUAACCAGGAU